UUAGCGACCUGCCCCAGCUUCGCACGGGUAGCUUGUUACAAUUUUCGUAUGGAUUUGAAAAAAAAAUAUAGCCUUUGUCACUCAGGAAUAAUGUAGCUAUCUAUCAGUGAAAGAAUUUU
This is a long non-coding RNA of Maniola jurtina (meadow brown), 119 nucleotides long. RefSeq lists it as uncharacterized. The record is from RefSeq and is a predicted model, not a curated record. Lineage: Eukaryota; Metazoa; Arthropoda; Insecta; Lepidoptera; Nymphalidae. The transcript is spliced from 3 exons.